This 458-nucleotide ribosomal RNA is filed under the name uncultured Desulfobacteraceae bacterium. RNAcentral describes it as "bacterial SSU rRNA". It matches the Rfam family "Bacterial small subunit ribosomal RNA", at positions 346 to 795 of the family's 1533-position model. The record is from RNAcentral. Lineage: Bacteria; Pseudomonadati; Thermodesulfobacteriota; Desulfobacteria; Desulfobacterales; Desulfobacteraceae.
GGGCAGCAGUGAGGAAUUUUGCGCAAUGGGGGAAACCCUGACGCAGCAACGCCGCGUGAGUGAUGAAGGCCUUCGGGUCGUAAAGCUCUGUCAAGUGGGAAGAACCUGAUUAAUGAUAAUACCAUUAAUCACUGACGGUACCACUGAAGGAAGCACCGGCUAACUCCGUGCCAGCAGCCGCGGUAAUACGGAGGGUGCAAGCGUUAUUCGGAAUCAUUGGGCGUAAAGGGCGCGUAGGCGGUUUUUUAAGUCAGAUGUGAAAGCCCGGGGCUUAACCCCGGAAGUGCAUUUGAAACUGAAAGACUUGAGUAUGGGAGAGGGAAGUGGAAUUCCUGGUGUAGAGGUGAAAUUCGUAGAUAUCAGGAGGAACACCGGUGGCGAAGGCGACUUCCUGGACCAAUACUGACGCUGAGGCGCGAAGGCGUGGGUAGCAAACAGGAUUAGAUACCCUAGUAGUC